GAGAUUUUACGAUUUUUUUAUAUUCUCCCGGAUUCUUCCUUUUCACUUACUCACACUGAUUCUACCCUUUUCCGGUACUCGUCGGACAGUUUUUCAGUAUUCGCACGGAUUCUAUCAUUUCCCGGUAUUCCACGAGAUUUUACGAUUUUUCGGUAUUCGCCCGGAUUCUACCAUUUUCAUUUAGUCACACUGAUUCAACCCUUUUUCGAUACUCCCCGGAC
RNAcentral lists this long non-coding RNA (221 nucleotides) under Vitis vinifera (wine grape). RNAcentral's name for it is "long non-coding RNA (VVIN_LNC008000)". The record is from RNAcentral. Lineage: Eukaryota; Viridiplantae; Streptophyta; Magnoliopsida; Vitales; Vitaceae.